Molecule: ribosomal RNA, 380 nt
Filed under: uncultured bacterium
Lineage: Bacteria
Description: bacterial SSU rRNA
Rfam family: Bacterial small subunit ribosomal RNA
Source: RNAcentral
AACGAACGCUGGCGGCAGGCCUAACACAUGCAAGUCGAACGCCCGUAGCAAUACGGGAGUGGCAGACGGGUGAGUAACGCGUGGGAACGUGCCCUUCGGUUCGGAAUAACUCAGGGAAACUUGAGCUAAUACCGGAUACGUCCGUAAGGAGAAAGAUUUAUCGCCGAAGGAUCGGCCCGCGUCGGAUUAGCUAGUUGGUGAGGUAACGGCCCACCAAGGCGACGAUCCGUAGCUGGUCUGAGAGGANGAUCAGCCACACUGGGACUGAGACACGGCCCAGACUCCUACGGGAGGCAGCAGUGGGGAAGUCUUGCGCAAUGGGCGGAAAGCCUGACGCAGCGACGCCGCGUGAGGGAUGACAGCCUUCGGGUUGUUAAACC